Molecule: ribosomal RNA, 329 nt
Filed under: uncultured eukaryote
Lineage: Eukaryota
Description: partial 18S ribosomal RNA
Rfam family: Eukaryotic small subunit ribosomal RNA
Source: RNAcentral
CCCUUAGAUGUUCUGGGCCGCACGCGCGCUACACUGAUGCAUUCAACGAGUCUAAAACCUGCUCUGAUAGGGGUGGGUAAUCUUUUGAAUGUGCAUCGUGAUUGGGAUAGAUGAUUGCAAUUUUUCAUCUUCAACGAGGAAUGCCUAGUAAACGCAAGUCAUCAGCUUGCAUUGAUUACGUCCCUGCCCUUUGUACACACCGCCCGUCGCUCCUACCGAUUGAAUGAUCCGAUGAAUAUCAUGGAUUGAGGAUGCAAGUAGGUUAGCCUAUCUUUAUCUUCGAGAAGUGAAGUAAAUCUUAUCAUUUAGAGGAAGGAGAAGUCGUAACA